GGUAGGGGACACCGAGCACACGCCAAUCGGCCAAUCAGCAGUUGAGAUCGUGUGCGAUACCCAAGCCACCCCUCUCCUCACUCGAUCUCGAUCAGUUCCUCGCCGGCCGCCACUGUAAUCGGUGCGCAAUCCUUCCGCGCAUUGAAUCUGUCCAAAGAACUCAUGGCUUUAAUCUCAUAAUUUCGGGACAAUCCGCCGCUAAUAUCUUCGUAUCGUGUAAAGUUCCUCGCGUGUUGUGUUUCGCGAAACUCCUGGGUGCGUGUCAACGAUCGUGCGUUGUGGUUGAUCUCUUGAAUCGGAUGUCCACCGCCGUUCGAUCGAGUGUCACCUUCAUCGAAAGGAAAAUGCCGGAUAUCUGUUCUCUCUCGUCAAAACCUGGUGCUGGUAUAUUCGUGGCUUUGAUCCUGGAGUCAGGAACCUGUGCUGUGAGCUGCAACCGCGACGCAAGGUAUGUGAAUCAUUGUUGCAUUUAUUACCGCAUGAAUGAAUUUCCCCUCGUUUCGAGUUCAGUGUGUCAAAAUAUCUGAAACAUUCAUCAAGUCC
This 543-nucleotide long non-coding RNA is filed under the name Bemisia tabaci. Its description in RNAcentral is "lncRNA ENSSSA1UGG005924". The record is from RNAcentral. Lineage: Eukaryota; Metazoa; Arthropoda; Insecta; Hemiptera; Aleyrodidae.